UGAGGAAUAUUGCGCAAUGGGGGCAACCCUGACGCAGCGACGCCGCGUGAGUGAGGAAGGCCUUCGGGUCGUAAAGCUCUGUCAAAGGGAAAGAAGUGCAUGGUGGUUAAUACCUGCCAUGUUUGACGGUACCCUUAAAGGAAGCACCGGCUAACUCCGUGCCAGCAGCCGCGGUAAUACGGAGGGUGCAAGCGUUGUUCGGAAUUACUGGGCGGAAAGGGCGCGUAGGCGGUUUGAUAAGUCAGAGGUGAAAGCCCACGGCUUAACCGUGGAAGUGCAUUUGAAACUGUCAGACUUGAGUACCAGAGGGGAAAGUGGAAUUCCCGGUGUAGAGGUGAAAUUCGUAGAUAUCGGGAGGAAUACCGGUGGCGAAGGCGACUUUCUGGCUGGAUACUGACGCUGAGGCGCGAAAGCGUGGGGAGCAAACA
This 428-nucleotide ribosomal RNA is filed under the name uncultured prokaryote. Its description in RNAcentral is "bacterial SSU rRNA". It matches the Rfam family "Bacterial small subunit ribosomal RNA", at positions 355 to 774 of the family's 1533-position model. The record is from RNAcentral.